Long non-coding RNA from Cervus elaphus (red deer), 1289 nucleotides. RefSeq lists it as uncharacterized. NCBI's taxonomy places the organism in Eukaryota, Metazoa, Chordata, Mammalia, Artiodactyla, Cervidae. The transcript is spliced from 2 exons. The record is from RefSeq and is a predicted model, not a curated record.
AGCUGUUUUACUCAAUAAAAUCACUGACUUGCCUCAAGAGCAUUUCAGUCCUCUCGACCCCAUUCUUUACUAGCCGCUUUUUUCUCAGGCUUCCGUGAUGUUGCGAUCGUGACUUGUUCUCUUUGCCGGCUGGUCCCGACAGGUGGCGCCUCAAUCAGGGACUCGAUCGGACUACACGGUCGCAGCCGCCCGAAACAUGAGUUCAGAGGGGAUCCCAAAAGAAACGAUGCCGAAGCACCGUGCUGGCUCCCGGAGAGGCUGGUACGCCAGACGGAGACGGUCGCUGACUGCUGGAAUGGAGAGGCUGCAGAUACAAGAGAGGAAUGUUCUGCAAACAAAUCAACAACUACAUGAGUUCAUGGAAGGAGCAAGACACAUUGCUGCGGAUACAAUCAAUCCACACACUUCCCUAUCCUACCUAGUGCUUGCAUUAGCAUGCGCUGUUAUGAAUCAAGCCUUUCCUAGCGCUGAAGGAAAUGUUUUUCUCUCUUGGGCUCAUUCCUAUGCUGAUUUUUAUAAUACCUCUGCUUAUUGGGUAUGCACUGCCAUGCCUUUGUCAGUUGUAAAUGGUUUACCAUGGUGGGUUUUGCCGAUGAGUCAGGAAGAAUUACCUGCGCUAUAAUAAAAGUAGAAUGUUGUGUGUAUAUACCAGAUUUAUCUUCCAAUGUGUCUGAUGCUGUAAAUGAUCUUCAACAUCAAAUACUUUCUAUGCAAGAUUCCUCCCUUUCUUUUUGGGAGCAAGUUAAAUCCUGUUUUGGGAGUGAUUGGUGGAAAACCCUGCUUAUAGUGCUUGUUAUUGUACUCUGUUUUCUUUGUUGUGGACCAUGUUUUUUACAAUGUAUUAUGAAUUUAGUUACUGAAAGAAUUAUGAAGUUUUCCCGUAUUAUGAAAAAAUAAUCUUGUUUCCCUUUUUCUCGAGAAAUGAGUAGAGAAGCUCGGCUUUUUAAUAAAUAAAAAGGGGGAGAUGCGGGGCCUGCUCAAGGCCCAAAAAUGCCCUGGGAAAGCCUUGAAAGAGGUCAUUCCCUGUCCCACCACCCCAUGAUAAAGUAGUAAAACAUUUGCCGGGUCUCCUUUGUUCUUCCUUGAGAAAAACAUAGUAGUGACCUUCACUUAGUAGUUUAUCUUGGAAUGUCAAAAACAAGAUGUAAGCUUCUGCAAUCACUUAAGACAAAGAAUUGUAUUGAUGUGACAAAAACCAGAUGGCAUUUUUUAUGAACUAUGUUUUCUGCUUGUACUAGUAUAAAGGUAGCUGUUUUACUCAAUAAAAUCACUGACUUGCCUCAAGAGCA